UACGUAGGGUGCGAGCGUUGUCCGGAAUUAUUGGGCGUUAAAGAGCUCUGUAGGCGGUCUGUCGCGUCGAUCGUGAAAACUUGGGGCUUAACCCUGAGCUUGCGGUCGAUACGGGCAUGACUGGAGUUCGGCAGGGGAGACUGGAAUUCCUGGUGUAGCGGUGAAAUGCGCAGAUAUCAGGAGGAACACCGGUGGCGAAGGCGGGUCUCUGGGCCGAUACUGACGCUGAGACGCGAAAGCGUGGGUAGCAAACAGG
This 256-nucleotide ribosomal RNA is filed under the name uncultured bacterium. RNAcentral describes it as "partial 16S ribosomal RNA". It matches the Rfam family "Bacterial small subunit ribosomal RNA", at positions 524 to 776 of the family's 1533-position model. The record is from RNAcentral.